UCGGGAGGCUCCUGUACGUUUAUUUCUAGCCCUUUCUCUUUCCUUCGGCUAAGCCAGACAGAAAAGGCACACAGACAGACGUCUGCACAACGUGCCUCAGGAUCCCUCAGGGAAAGCAGCUAACGUGGCAGUCCCUCCGCCCCUUUCCUUCCCCACGGGGUGGCCGCCAUGUUUCCAGAACACAAAAUGGCGACACGUGGCCUGGAUUCGUUGCCAACGAGAAAUUGGGGUCGACCCGAAAGCUCCAAAAUGCCCCCACCUCCCCACCCCGUGCGUGUUGGCCAGCGCCUUUCCCUCGCAGCCAGUGCUCUAACCACUCUGGUCCAAACCUAAGCUGCCGAAUUUGAAUGCAUUUCCCCCAUUAAUUUGAAGUGGGAAUGUUUAUAACUGUAAAAUGUAGGUGUGAUGCCGAGUCUCUCAUAGUCUUAAGUUUAAUAAUGGGUAAUGGUGGGGGGGGGGCAGUGCCAGUGGAUGAUUUGGGCCCCCAGUUACCAAAGCAUUUAAGAAUCACUGCUUUAAGAAAUAAGAUGGGAAGUUACUGAUUACCUAGACCUCUAGCCCAGGCUGGUGUGCUGGAGAGACUGAGAAAUGGUCUUAUAAAAUUUCUUAGAAUUUCCAUGAAGCAGUUUGGAUACCUGUGACCAUUUUCAGAGGCUAGCUGACGGUGAACCUAAGUUUACCACAAGUGGUAUUAACUUUCAGUAUGGAGGGACAGAUGUUAUUGUGCAUUUACCAGCGCAAGAUCCUGUGCUAGCAUUUUACUGCAUACUAUCUUUAAUUUUUACAGUGAUCUGAGGUAGGUGUUAUCUUUUUCUCUCUCUUUCUCUAACAGAUGAAUUCACUUAGGCCCAGAGAGAUGAAGUGACUAAUUCAAAGUCACACAGUGGAGGAUGGAUUCCAGACCUUCUGAUUUCCUAAUUGGUGAGCACUUUCUCAAAUUUUUCUGUAAGUCAGUGUUUUAAAAUUUAAGUGCUAUUUGAAGUUUAGGUGAGCUUGUCAUUUAAAAGAACCUCUCAGGUAACCUUUUGGUGCAUAGUCACCCCGUUUGUAUCUUUUGGGGAUUCCCAGCUUUUCCUGGUGUGAACUAUACCUUGGCUCAAAUGCUAUUUAAAAAAAUUUUUUUAAUUAAAAAAUUGGUGUCUGGGUGAGAAUUGGGAGUGGGAAAUGAUUCAGCCCUACCCAAAGGCUGAAGUAUGUGUCAGUCCAGCCUUGUCUGUGGCACAUUCAAGUCUCCCUGGCUCUGUGGGAGCAAGCAGUUUCUGACUCACUUGCUUCCUUUAGCUACCCAUGGGCACGACUUCCGCCUUCCUCACCCCAGUGUCCCAACCAAGUAAAAAUAAAUAAUUUCACUUUGGCGCCAAGCCUCCAUUUCUCCGCAAAUAUUGACAGAGCAUGACAGUGUUAAGGAAAUCAUGGUCUAUGAACUCUUCAGUUCAGUGUAACGAAUAACUUGUAGGUCAAGCAAGGAAUAUGUGCCUGAACAGGGCUCUACUUGUGUGGUUGUUAGAGAUGGAGAGAAGGGCUUUUUGCUUCUUUUAACUUACAUUAAUGUCUUAUAUCAUAGUUUUCAAAGUGCCUUUGCGUUACUUUGUGUAAUUCUAUAACCAACUUUAAUUGGUGGGUACGUUAUAGCAACAAUGGCAGUACUAGCAUUAAGUGCUAACUUUGUGACUGGCACUGUUUGAAGCUUUAUUCUGUAUGUUAUUUCAGUGGCUCUCACAUUUUUUUUUUAAGUUUAUUUAUUUUGAGAGAGAAAGAGUGUGCAAGUGUGCAAGUGAGCCCCUGAGUGGGGUAGGGGUAUGUGUGUGUGUGGGUGGGGGCGGGGGGCAGAGAGAGAGAGAGAGAGAGGGAGGGAGAGAAUCCUAAGCAGGCUUUGUACCGUUAGCAUGGAGCUGGACUUGAUCUCAUGAACCCAACCAUGAGAUCAUGACGUGAACCAAAAUCAAGGGUUGGUUGCUUAACUCACUGAGCCACCCAAGUCCUCCCCUCCUUUUUUUUAAGAUUUUAUUUUUAAGUAAUCUAUAUACCCAUUGUGGGGCUCGAAUUCACAACCCCAAGAUCAGAGUCACGUGCUCCACUGACUGAACCAGCCAGGCACCCCAACAGUUUUAAAAGUAAGCCGUCAAGAGAUAACAUUUUUACAAAAUAAUUCAUAUAUACAUAGGCAUAUGUAACAGAAACCAAAUCUUUGUAAAACAGUAUUUAUUUUUACUGUAUGCGGUGUACUCUGGUAAUUUCUGUUCAUUUACAUGAAAUAAAAAGGUGUAUCACAACUGAAGUGACAAACUGUUAUAAGGUUGUGACCAAAAUGAUUAAUAUACACAUUUAAUCCUCACAAAACUCCUUAGAUGAAAGUGAUGCAAUUUAUAUUUUACAGAGAUACAGAAAGGUGAAGGAUUUUGUCUAACACACAGUUAUUAAAUAGUAAAAUAUGUAUUUGAAUUUGGGCAGUCUGAGCCCAGAGCCUGUAUAUUUACCACUGAGCUAGAUGUGGUCUCUGCAGAUGGCCUUGUCUUUAAGGGAGACAGAGUUGUUUAGGGAAUUAAAAUUAUUAGUAAAUGUUACAAACAAACUGAAGAGGCAAUAAGAGAAAUUCUAUGUAAUGAAGAGUUAUAUCCUUAUUCAAAAUACUCUGGUCUGUAUGAGGUGCUUGGGUGGCUCAGUCGGUUAAGCAUCUGACUUCAUCUCAGGUCAUGACCUCACAGUUCAUGAGUUCAAGCCCUGCAUAGGGCUCUGUGCUAACAGCUCAGAGCCUGGAACUUGCUUUGGAUUCUGUGUCUCCCUCUUUUUCUGCCCCUCCCCUGCUCACACUCUGUCUCUCUCUCUCUCUCUCUCUCUCAACAAUAAGUAAAUGUGAAAAAAAGUUAAAACAAAACAAAAUAUUUUGGUCUCUAAAUCUGUCACAUAUUUAUUUCCCCUGAAGAAAAAUGUGUAUGUUGGGUCUUUCUUCCUGUCUAUUUAAAGCCUUUUUGCCUGAAAAUUUCCAUUAAUUCCUUCUUAUCUGAGUACCUCCCUGAUUCUACUCACCUCUUCCUUCAAUAAAGACUUCCCCUUCCCAGCCUCUCUGUUUCCCCCAGAGUCCUAUAGCCCCCACACCCCCCCUGUAGGCUACGUUUGGCUGUUAAUUAAAUUGUAAUCUGCAUUGGUGUUGAUAGUGUGUUGUACAGGGCAUUGGUGUCAUGGGUGACCCAGAGAUCUGGUAAAGAGGACAUUGGACUUGGGAAUCUGUGGCUCUGGCCCCUAGCUCCAGCUCUCCCACUGUCUAACUUUGAGAAGUCUACAACCCAGUUCAAAACUGGGCUUUGGUUUUCCCACGUGUAAAACAACAGAUUAAAUGAUCUUUUCUAAUUCUAUCCAGGGAGUGAUGAUACUUGAUGAUCUUGGGUAUCUCUGGGAGGGAGGAGGAUUAUGUAAAUAUUUUACUUAUGGUAAAUUUCCCCCUCCCUUCCUCAGACCUGCAGUAUCUUGUGUAUACGUGAUUGAAUUCCACACCACCCAUUUUACAGAUGAAGCCACUGAGAUAUGGAACAAUUGACUAAAUAGUCACUGCCCCACCCCUGGAGCCUCACACAUGACUCUUCUCCUCCCAUUUGAAUGACUGCAGGUUAGUUAAGGGGUUUAAUGAGUUUGGGAAGGUGAGUCAGGCUUAGACUUUGGAAAUUGAACCACAGGAUUUAUAUUCCAUUCAGAGGAGGGAUUUUUGCUUCCUUUUACCUCACAUUGGCAUGUUUAUGAAAUGUUUUAAAGUGAUUUCACAUUAUUUACUAAUCAUCACAGGCACCCUUGCCAUAAAAGUAUAAAUAUGCCUGUUUUAUGGAAGAGCUAUCUAUAGAUCAGAGGAAUGAAGUGACUUGCCUAAGGUUACACAGCUUGUCAGGACCUGAGCUGGGUCUCUUGACUUCUAGUUGUGGAUUGUUCCUCUCCUUGGCUUUUGAUGCUAGUUGCACUGACUUUGACACAUGGAAUAGUUUUAUCUUUAACUCAGAAAGCUUUCAAUCCAGCCUUUAUUUUUCUGUCCCAGAGCAUCUAGUCCACUUAUGUUAGGUUCCUGAUUCUUUUGGUUUAAGAAAAGCUCUUUCCUCUUUUUGUCUAAUGUUUACAUUUAUGGGUUUGGGAAGUGGUGGGAAUUAUUCCUUGAUGAGGCCGUGGAGGCAGGGACCACAUCCCUGCCCCCCCCCCCGCCCCCCAAUCUACCUUUCCAGCAAAUGUACUACAGCUUUUUAAAAAUUUUUUUUUUUUUCAACGUUUAUUUAUUUUGGGACAGAGAGAGACAGAGCAUGAACGGGGGAGGGGCAGAGAGAGAGGGAGACACAGAAUCGGAAACAGGCUCCAGACUCCGAGCCAUCAGCCCAGAGCCUGACGCGGGGCUCGAACUCACGGACCGCGAGAUCGUGACCUGGCUGAAGUCGGACGCUUAACCGACUGCGCCACCUAGGUGCCCCAUUACAGCUUUUUAAAUUUGCCCUACCAACAUGCAGUUUUGCAAAAAAUAAACAAACAAAAAACCAACAUGGUUUCUUCUUCUCUUACUCUUUCAGAUUUAGCUUCUUAUAUUUCUUUUAUUUGAAAUUAUAGUAAACUGAGAGGAUAUUUACCCUAUCACUUUCUGGGAUACUACAAAGUAUAACCUACGAAAUAUUUCUUACCCACUUUGUAGAUAGGAACAAUAUUUAUAAUAAUAAUCUCAUAUACUGGUGACCCUGUGCUGCCGUUAUGGGGUUAAUACUGAGUUUUCUCAGAAACUUAAGAAAUAUAUUGGUGUGCCUUACAAAAGUGCCCAGGAAAUACAGCAGCAUCCUUGGUCUAAGUUCUCCCGGUUGGGGAAAGUAAUGCCUAUGGAUUCCCAAGGGUUACUCUGACUGAAAUAAGUCAUGGAGAAUGGAGUGCAGAGAAAAAUUAAAGGAAAAAUGAGAACAGAGUACAAAUGUAAAGUAUAGAAAAUGAGGAAGGAAAAAAGAUAAGAAAAGGAAAAAGACAAGGGCAGAGAAAAGAGAAGAAAACAAGAUCAGUGGAACGGAUAUGAAGAGAACAAUUCCGAGGUUCAUUUGCUCCUUAUGUGAUGUGGGAAGCAUAGGCUUGCACCAAGAAAGAGCACCUGGUAUGAGAACUCAUGAACUGAUCUGAAGCACCAUGUCUCUUUUUGAAUCUUCUUUUUCUAAUAUCAAGUAGGGAAAAUUUGUUUCUACUAUCAGCUGGGGAUGUGAUUAGACACCAAUAGUUUCAAUAUUAGCCUUAGUCCUAUUGGUUUAUCAAGGAAAAUGUGCUAUAAAAAUCACAUUAAAGUAUUCCAGGUCAAAUUUUAUCCUAUUCAUUCAGUAAGCAAUUUUUUUUUCAAUUAUUACUAUUUUUAAGUUUAAUUUUACUCUCAGUGUGGGGCUUGAACUCACUACCCCAAGAUCAAGAGUUGCAUGCUCUACCAACUGAGCCAGCCAGGCACCCCAGUCAGCAAAUACUUAUGGAUUGCUUGAUAUGUCCCAGACACUAAGGAUAUAAAAAUGAAUGAGAUCCUGUUCUUGCCUUCAAGAUGUUUAUGAUCUGGAAAGGGACACUGACAAGUAAACAGAUUUGCAGUACAAUAUGUUAAGGUAUUAGGAUAUAAGUAAGCAGAGGAUGCUACGGGCUUAGAAGAAGGCCCUUGAUUCAGCCUUGGAGGGAAUCCAGAAUGACUGCCUAGCGAAGGUGACAUUUAGGCUGAGUCCCAAGUUGGCAGAUUACAAGGUGGAGGGCAGGAAAGAGUAACUCCAGGCAGGGAAGCAAAAGCCCAAAGGCAGAGAGUAUGCAGUCCAUUCAGAAGUUGAAGCCACUUCAGGAAGGUAUGAAGGAUGUUUGCAUGAUCCAGUUUUUUGUGAUUGUUGUACUGCUUUAGAAGUGUACAUUAUUGAGACUUGAUUAUGCUUACUAGAGCACAAAAAGUCUAAAUCCUUAUUUUGUAGCAGGAUUCUCUUUUAAGAUGAAGGUAUCAGAGGGACAUCUGGAUGGCUUAGUUAAGCGUCUGACUUCCUGCUCAGGUCAUGAUCUCACAGUCUGUGGGUUCAAGCCCCGUGUCAUGCUCCGUGCCGACAGCUCAGAGCCUGGAGCCUACUUCAGAUUCUAUGUCUCCCUGUCUCUCUGUCUGUCCCCUGCUUGCUCGCUCUCUCUCUUUCAAAUAUUAAAAAAAUUUUUUUUGUAAAAGAUGAAGCUAUCGCAAAUUGUACUUCUGGUCUAUAGAUUGUAAGAAGAAAAUGUAAAUAAAGCACAGUCUUUGAAUUAGCAAAUGGUUAUUAAACUUCUGUGCAAUAAAGGAAAGAAGGUGCAAGGCAUAGCAUAUCCCCCCGCCAUUUUUUUUUUCUUUAGGAUUUUAUUUUUAACUAAUCUCUGUACCCAAUGUGGAGCUCAGACUUACAACCCCUGAGAUCAAGAGUCGCAUGCACCAUUCACUGAGCCAGCCAAGCGCCCCAGCAUAUCCCUUUCUUAUCCAACUUUUGGAUUUGAUUGUAUUCUGCUUUGUUUUUAAGGAGGUGUAUGUGUGGAAGUUUAGGGUCUUUGUUUAGUUGGUUAGGAUCUUUGAGUUAGGGGGGAGGGAAAGGAUUUCAAGAAUAAUUGCUACUUUAUGGCAGAACAAAAGAAAUACAUUUAAAAAGCUCUUUUUUUUUUUUUAAUGUUUAUUUAUUUUUGAGACAGAGAGAGACAGAACAGGAGCAGGGGAGGGGCAGAAGAGAGACAGGGAGACAUAGAAUCUGAAGCAGGCUCCAGGCUCCGAGCUGUUAGCACAGAGCUGGAUACAGGACUUGAACUCACGAACCGCAAGAUCAUGACCUGAUCCAAAGUCAGACGCUUAACCAACUGAGCCACCCAGGUGCCCCUAAAGCUCAUUUUUCUGAUCUCACCUACUGAGCACAAACAAGACUUAGGGAACAUUGUUAGUUAAUUCAACCAGACAAAGCAUUUAACAUUAUUCCCUAUGUAAAAUCUGUUGUGGACAUGGAUAUAGCUGCAUUAAAUAAAAACCUUAUGUGUAUUCAUUGGACAAUACUGGGAUUUUACCUGGAGUAAAAGAAAAAAAGUACUAUAUGUAGAGUAGGGAAGAACAUGCUUGGAAAAUAGCACACAGAUUCAGUGGUCAUUUCUCAGUCAUCUUCUUGACCCUGUAGCACCUGAAACUCCCUCCUUGCACAUUAGUUUUGUUUGACUUCCAGGAUGCCACUCUGUUGGUUUCCCCCCUCCUCACCAGCCCCUCCUUCUCACCCCCCCACCUUUUGGCUGAUUCCUCCUUAUCUCCUCAGCCUCUAAUGAAGGAGUACUCAGAUUAGUCCUUGCAUCCCUUCUCUGUUUAUACUCAUUCCCUAGGUGCUCUCUUUCAAGACCUCAAAUACCAUUUAUACCCUGAGAGCUCUCAAGUGUAUAGUACUAGCUUGGAUGUCUUCCCUUGAACUCAAGACUCAUAUCCAACUGCCUACAAGAUAUCAUCUCCACUUGGUUAUUUAAUAGCUUCUUGAGCUUAAUGUAUUCAGCAAAUUAAUUCUGGAACUUCUCUUCUCAAACAUGUACCUCUGCCAAUUCUUCCCCAUUUUAGUUUCAGUUGUAUUGAACAUAUGGAGGACUCUCCCUUGACUCUCUUCCUUUUCUUGCUCUCUUCAUCUAAUCUACUAGUAGGUCCUAUGAGCUCUACCUUAAAAAACAUCCCGGAUUUGAACACUUCUCACCACUUCCCCUGCUACUUUUAGAAUAGCCUUCUAAAUUGUCUUCCCUCAGUCUAAUCUGAACAGUGACCAGAGUCGUUUUGUUAAGUUUACAUCAAAUCAUUCCACUCCUCUGCUGAAAACUAUUCACUGGGUCCCACCCAUGUUAAAAAUUAAAGUCCUUACAGUGAUCUAAGAGGCCACAUAGCAUAUUCAGUGCUCCCCCAGCUGCUCUGACCUCAUCUUUUAUCACUUUCUCCUUGUGCUCUGGACACAUUGGUCUCCUUGCAGUUGCUCCAGCAUGCCAAGCCUUGAACUUCUUAGUGGUGUUCUUUGCCUGGAAUACUUCUUCCAGUUACCAGUAUGGUCUCCUUCCUUACCUCCUUCAGGUUUCUGCUCUUGUCACCUAGUUUGUGAAACAUUCCUUGACCAUCCUAUUUAAAGUAAAAGCCAUCUCCUGCCCUCUUCAUUCCUUCUUCCCUUUUCCUGCUGUAUUUUUCUCCACAGAACUUAUCACUGUUUGAGGUACUAUUCAUUCAUUCAUUCUUCACAUAUUUAUUGAGGGAUGCCUACUAUGUGCCAAGCACUGUACUGGGGACUCUCUCUACUAUAGUAUGUUUAUUAUUUGUCACCUGCCACUGGAAUGUAAAUUUCCUGAUGACUAGGACUUUGUUUUGCUUGUUGCUAUAUUGCCAUCUCCUAGAAUACUGUCUAGCACAUUGCAGUUGAAUGAAUACAUUUAUUCAGAUUUUAAACAAAAACGUAUUGAAUGUAUAGGGGAUUGUGUACCAGAUAAUGAGGGAAAGAUAUGUAUAAAUAAUAUAUUGUUCCUGCCCUCAAGUUGCUCAGUCUAAAAUAUGCUUAUUUUGACCUGAACAGUACUGUGUUCUCUAACAGGAUAAAGUGUUACAUCAUUUUGUAAUUGGGGAGGUGGAGGUAGGGACUAGUGUGCAAGGGUAUGGAUCUCUUCAGAGGUGAAGUCUUGCUUUAUCAGGCUUAUCAAUAAUUUGUACUGGUUCUGGGAGGGCAGGAUUGCUGAUAGCUCACUGCAUUACUGGCUUUUUGGAUUGUAAUUUCUGUUUAGUUUUGUCUUUUUGGGGCAGGAGCUUCUUUAAAAUCCUGCUAUCAGUCUUGGUUCUUUUUAGAUAUCUUCUAGGAACCUCUGUCACAGCCACUUUUUUCUUUUUUUUUUUUUUUUAAUUUUUUUUUUUCAACGUUUAUUUAUUUUUGGGACAGAGAGAGACAGAGCAUGAAUGGGGGAGGGGCAGAGAGAGAAGGAGACACAGAAUCGGAAACAGGCUCCAGGCUCUGAGCCAUCAGCCCAGAGCCUGACGCGGGGCUCGAACUCACAGACCGCGAGAUCGUGACCUGGCUGAAGUCGGACGCUUAACCGACUGCGCCACCCAGGCGCCCCACAGCCACUUUUUUCAAGAUAAGUGAAGGAGUUUACUAUCUUUACCUUCCUCCAUAUCUGAAAGUUCUUUUCCAGAAACUGUGGUCAUCGAUGUACUAACUGUUUGGUCUUGAACCUCUCAGAACCUCAGUUUCUGCACUUGUCAAAUGGAGAUAACGAUAAAUGACAUCAGUCUUUCUUCUUUUUAAAAAAAAAUUUUUUUUAAUCUUUAUUUUUGAGAGACAGAGAGACAGCAUGCGAGUGGGGGAGGAAUAGAGAGGGAGACACAAAAUCCGAAGCAGGCUUCAGGCUCUGAGCUGCCAGCACAGAACCCAAUGUGGGGCUCGAACUCACAAACCGCGAGAUCAUGACCUGAGCUAAAGUCAGACGCCCAACCGACUGAACCACCCAGGCACCCCGACGUCAGUCUGUCUUCUUAUGAGGAUGAAAUGAGUAAAUACUGAUUUUGAGAGUGGGGCAGUAGAGAAGGGAAAGAGAGAAGAAUUUCCUUUUUUUUUAUAAAGUAUUUUUAAAAAGUUUAUUUAAUUUUUUAAAAUCUUUUAUUUAUUUUUGAGAGAGCAGGGGAGGAACAGAGAGAGGAAGACAGAAUCUGAAGCAGGCUCCAGGCCCUGAGUUGUCAGCACAGAGCCUGAUGUGGGGCUUGAACCCGUGAAUGGUGAGAUCAUGACCUGAGCUGAAGUUAGACACUUAACUGACUGAGCCACCCAGGUGUCCCUAAAGUUUAUUUAUUUAUUUUGAGAGAGAGGGAGAGAGAGUGUGUGCUAGUGGAGGAGGGGCAGAGAGAGAGGGAGAGAGAGAAUCCGAAGCAGGCUCUAUACUAUCAUCACAGAGCUCGAUACAGGGUUUGAACUCACAAACUGUGAGAAUAUGACCUGAGCCGAAAUCAAGAGUCAGAUGCUUAACCAACUGAGCCACCCAGGUGCCACUGAAAAAAAAAUUUUUUUUUCUUUAUGUUUAUUUAUUUAGAGAGUGUGAGCUUGGGAGGGGCAGAGAGCCGAGAGAGAGGGGGGGACAGAGGAUCCGAAGAGGCCUCUGCGUUGACAGCAGUGAGCCCAAUGUGGGGCUCGAACUCACAAACUGUGAGAUCAUGACCUUAGCCAAAGUCAGAUGCUUAACCAGCUGAGCUACUCAGGAACCCCCAAAAAACUUUUUAAUACGCUUAUGUUUCAUUUCUACCGAGAGUAGUGAAGAUUUUUUUUAAUAUAUGUUUUUAAAUGUUUGUUUAUUUUGAGAGAGAGAGAGUGUGAGCAGGGGAAGAGUAGAGAGGGAGACAAGAAAAUCCCAAGCAGGCUCCACGCUGUCAGCACAGGGCUCGACGUGGGGCUUUAUCUCACAAAUCGUGGGAUCGUGACCUGAGCCGAAACCAAGAGUUGGUUGCUUAACUGAAUCACCCAGGAGCCCCAUAAAGAUUUUAUUUUUAAAAACAAAGAUGUUAGGGUCCUGGGUUUGGGCUUUAGGGUUAAACGUAAAAAAAAAAAAUGAUUAUUUAAAAAAAUACAUUAAUAUAUUGUUUUUUACAGAGUAACAGGUUUUUAGAAAAUAUUUCCUUGUGUUUCUACUCAGGUUAUUACUUUUGUAUUACAGAAGGGCAGUGAAAUACUAGAACCCCACCCCAGGCUGCGUGGUGAGCUGGUGUCUACGUAGGCAAACAACCAUUUCCUUUUAGGUGAAGUUGGAGUUCAGGAAGUACUAUUUGAAGAGGCUCAAAGGGAUUGAUGAUGAUAACAACAGCAAUAAUAGUAGUGUCUAACUGAUGAACCAGGCACUUUAUGUAGAUUGUCUUAUUUUAACAGCAUAGCAACCACAUGAAGUCUGGUGCCUUGAGAAGUACAGCAGUGUAGGAGUAAAGAGCAUAGACUCUGGGGUCAAACUUUCUGUACUCACUUCACAGCUUUGCCAGUAACUAGCUGUGUGGUCUUGAGUGAGAAAACUGCCUCUUCUUCUUCUGUAAGAUGAAGAUAAUAAUAGUAACUGCUUCAUGAGGUUGUAACGAUUAAAUGAUGUAAGCCCUGUAAAGCACAGUACUUGGCAUAUAGAAAGUGCUCACCAAAUUUUAUUGUAAUAAAAGUAGAUGGAGAAACAGAGGCUUAGAAAGAGGGAAGUUAAUUUGCCUUAGUGACACAGCAAAUAUAAAUGACAGAACAGUAAUUUGUGCCUGGGAAGUCAAACUCCAUUGCCCUUCCUUCCUUCCUUCCUUCCUUCCUUCCUUCCUUCCUUCCUUCCUUCCUUUCUUCCUUCCUUCUUCCUUCCUUCUUUCCUUCCUUAAAUAGGCUCCACAUGGGGCUUGAACUUAAAACUUUGAGAUCAGGAGUUGCAUGCCACUGACUGAUCCAGCCAGGCACCCCAUUCAGCGCUCUUGUUUCUUAACCAUUACAUUGUACCGCCAUUAUGGAUUGAGGGUGAGAGCCUGGACAAGAACCAUAUUUUGUCCAACUUGAGGUGAGCAUAGAUCUAAAGGUCACACUUGGGUUCAGACCUAUGGAAGCUUUAUUUGUGCUCUUUUUUUUUUUUUAACAUUUUAAAUUUAUUUUUUGAGAGAGCAAGGGCAGGGGAGGGGAAGAGAGAGAGGGAGACACAGAAUCUGAAGCAGCUUCAGGCUCUGCACAGAGCCUGAAGCAGGGCUUGAACUCAUGAACUAUGAGAUCAUGACCUGAACUGAAGUCAGACACUUAACCAACUGAGCCACCCAGGGACCCCUUUAUCUGUGUUCUUAACACUGUAGCAUGUACUGGUUAUUCUCUGAAGUGAUUGUUCCCUAGAUCCAAACAAAUGAAUGAGUGAUGGGUUAUUUAUGGUCUGCUGAGGGGUUGAGUGUUCCCUGGCUGGGGCCAGGAAAUGGAGCUGAAUAAACACCUGUAUCUUACCCACUGCUCUUGGACCUAAGUAGGAGCUUGUCUAGUGUCUUUUGUUAUUAUGAUUGUUACUCCUUAUACAACUGGUAAUGAUGAGAAGCUGAGCAGUGUAUAUAUCAAGCACUUUAUUUUUUAUUUUAUUCAUUUAUUUUUAAAAUUCUUUCUCUCUCUCUCUCUCUCUCUCUCUCUCUCUCUCUCUCUCUUUCUUUCUUUUGUGCGAAUCAGGGAAGGGAGCAGACAGAGAGAGAGAAUCUCAGAGACUCCACGCUCAGUACACAGCCCAACUCGGGGCUCAGUCCCAUAACCCUGGGAUCAUGACCGGAGCCAAAACCAAGAGUUGGGUGCUCAACUGACUGAGCCACCCAGGCACCCAGUAAAUAUUUUAUUUUUAAGUAAUCUCUGCACCCAACAUGGAGCUCGAACUCACAACCCCGAGAUCAAAAGUUGCAUCCCCUCCCAACUAGGCCAGCCAGGAGCCCCUACAUUGAGCACUUUAUGUGCCAUGCAUUUGACAUAGAUUAUCUCAUCUAGUCCUUAAUGUAACCGUAUGAGGUAGUCACUCCUAACCCUAUUUUAUAGAAACAGAGAGAUUAGGAAACUUGCUUAAACUCACAUAGUGUGUGUGGUGGAGCUGGGAUUUGAAUACACAGUCUGACUCUAGAGUCCACAUUCUUGAUCUCUACACUCUAUUGUUUCUAUUCUUUCCUGUGUAAAGUAUAUAGUAUAUGGUAGGUGGCUUAGUAGGUCCAGUCCUGUUUUUCCCAUCUGAAAAAUGGGAAGAUUUUGACUAGUGGGCUAGAAAUAAGGAGGCCUGUGAUCUUGUCCUAACCUUGUCACCAACUUGCCACAUCCAGGACUUCACUUUUCUUAGCCUCAUUGUCCUCAUUCAUUAAACAAAAGGGUCACUCUAGAUGGUCUCUGAGAUCCCUUCUAACUCUUAAUGUUCUGAUUGACCAUAUGAAGUGAGGAGAAUAACACCUGCUCAACUCCUUGAUUUUGGAGUGGUGGUAUUUGUGAGGUUUUAGGGAGUCUGCUUUGUGUAAGGGAAGAUGCCAGAUUUUAGGACAGAGAACAUUGCUUUCCUGAAGAAGGUAGGUCUGGGCUCUUUUUUGAGGGUGGUUGCCUAGGGAACCUAGCCUCUGGCCAGCAACAGUCAGGAAUGCUUUGGUUAAGAGUUGGCUACAGAUAACUAAAACAAGCAGCACAUUUAGGUUUCACUUUCCACCCUCCCCCCCCCCCCAGAUACCUUUCCUUUUCAUGCUCCCAGUUUGAUACACUUCUAUAUAUUAGUAUUUAACAGGAGUUUGUUAUUUAAAUUUUUAUUGUAAUCUUAUGAGGUAAGUACUAUUCUAAAUUUACAGUUAAUGAAAGUGAGGCAAAUAGAGUUAAAUAAUUUGUCCAUAGUUACUCAAGUGGAAAGUGGUAUUCAACCCACUAUGUUGUACUGCCUGGUAGGAACUUAAAAAAAAAAAAAAAGCAAAGGGAGGAUUCUUUAUUUAUUGGUGGUGUUUUGUUUUGUUUUUUCUUUAAAAAGUUUUUUUUAAGUUUAUUUAUUUUGGUAGAGUGUGAGCAGGGUAGGGGUAGAGUGAGAGGGUAGAGAGAGAAUCCCAUUGUGGGGCUUGAACUCAUGAACUGUGAGAUCAUGACCUGAGCCGAAAUCAAAUUGGACACUUAACCAGCUGAGCUACCCAAGUGCCCCUGUUUUUGUUUUCUUUAGAAUAGUAGACUCUUGGAGUUGGAAAGAGCCUUUACCAUAGUCAAUCUCCUUGCCUACUGUCUGCCAUCUGGUUACAGGAACGCUUUCCAUCAUACCCCUGACAGAUGAUCACCCAAGUUCUUUUUGAAUACUUCCAUUGCUGGGGAGCUAGCUCAUUACUUCUUGAGGAAUCCCAUUAUAUGUGACUUGUUCUCUUGGGUAAGAGAUUAUUUCUUGUUUUGAAAUUAAAUCUAAUUGAGAUGACUUACCAGUUUUAGGCCUGUCUUCUGGAACCGUUUAGGAUAAUUAUGAUCCAUCUUCCAUAUGCCAAUCUUGUUAAUGUUUGAAGACCCUUUUCCUAUUUAUAAGUCAUUUGUAGUUUUCUCAUAGCAUCUAAACUUGCUUUCAGUUUGGAUUGGUCUGCACAAAGCAGUCUCUAUUUUUUAUUGCUUUGCAAGUGCAGCCUUGCAACAGAUCUGUGCUUCACUUCUUAUGGUUAGGCACAAAGUAUGGGCUCUUUCCACAUCUUUGGAGAACGAAUAAAUGGUGAGCUGAGUCUCUACUAUAGUAUAUGAGUCUGAAGGGUUUGCAGUUUCCUACUCUUGUAAUCUAAUGUCCAUUAGACUGUUGCCCUGUACACACUGUUAGAGCUCACAAAAUGGCUGGAAGUUUAUCCGGGCAUUUGACAACAUUGCAUUUACUUCAUCAGGCCACUAGGUGAUGAACAACUCACAAACCCAGACUUCCAGGGGCAGUUGUAUACAGGACAGUUUUAGAUUGUAGUUGGAAAGGCUAUCAGAAGUCAUUUGGUACAACCUUAUUAAAAGGUCUUUUGGGGAUGGGGGGAGGGGAAACAUGUCUUGUGUAUACUUUGUCUUUCCCAGCUUUAUUCCAAUUUUAAAUAUUAAUUUGAAUAGGGUACUUCUUUCUCUGAGUGAUCUUAGAAAAGGGGCCUGGGUGGUACUUUCAAGGUUCUUUUGUGCCCAAUUAUGUAUAUGUAUAUUUCAAAGGUUUUAUUUUUAAGUAAUCUCUACCCAACGUGGGGCUCAAACUUAUAGCCCUGAGAUCAAAAGUCUCAUGUUCUACCAACUGAGCCAGCCAGGUGCUCCUGUAUUUUACCAUAAUGUAGGAAUGAUGUCUUGGCUUGGUUUAGGAUUCUCAAAUAGUAGUUCUAGCCACUACAAAGUCUACAUGCAGCUUUCUUCUGUCUUCAGUUUCAAGUGAUACAGAUGGGAAGUCCAGUGCCAAUAGGAUUAUUUUUCCUUGUAAGUAAUUACCUGUCCUUUCUCUUUGGAAGUUUGUAAAUUUUUUUCUUCAUGCUUAGAUUUCAUCAUGAUAUGCUUUGGGUGUGUUUCUUUUUAAAGUAACUCUGCUUGCCCCUUGUUAACCUUUUUUAGAUCUAAAAACUUAAGUCUUUUCUUAACUCAAGGAAGUUUCCAUCUGUUUCCAACCUUCACAGAAGAAGAAACUGUCCAGAAAGAUGACUUACUCAAGGUCACUCAGCUAGUUAAAAAUGAACUUCAAGCAAAUAACUUGACUUCUUUGAUGACCUAUAUUUUCAUUGUACUGAAUAUUGCUCUGUUGAGAGGGCCAACAUGAAAAACUUGGGAAAUUUUUUAGUGAGACACGAAUUUUGCUGAGGGUCCGUGGGGACAUGAAGAAGGACAAAGAGAUGAUAAAAUUAAUUAUGAUUAAAAUGUGGCCCAUUUGGGGGCUCCUGGGUGGUUCAGUUGGUUAAGUAUCUGACUCUUGAUCUCAAUUUAGGUCAUGAUCUCACGUUUUGUGGGUUUGAGCCAUGUUUCUGGCUUUGCAAUGAUGGUGUGGAGCCUGCUUGGGAUUCUUCCUUUUUCUCCUUCUUUCUUCCCCUCCGCACUCAUGCUUGCAAGCUCUCUCUCUCUGAGACUUUCUCAAAAUAAAUAAAUAAAAAUGUGACGCAUUUGAAGAACUAUAAAAUUCACAAGGUAUCCCAGUUACUGGAGUUAACCCAGAGCUCUAAAACUUAAUAAAGCUAGUUUUGCAAGGGAGAAAGACUUGAUAAAGCCAGGAAGUUUAUUGAACACUUGGAUAACUAGAUACUUAGUUGUCAGGAGUUGGGUAAGUAUGGUCAUGCCCUAUUGUAAAUAUUGGAAAACAUAUGAGUAUCUGAAGGCUUGGAGACAGACAUCAUAAAUUGUGUCUUAUCAGUGGUCUGGUUUCUGUUUUGAGUUCCAGCCUGGGACCCUUUUCUGCUGGGAACCACCUGUCCCUGGCUCUGUUGAUCUUUGGAUUUCCCCAGCCCUCAGUCCCUUUCAGUUUUGAAAUGAAACCUACCCCACCGGGUGAGGUCAGGUACUGAGAGAACUUUGACAGCUCAUACCAGGUUGUUUUUUUUCUAGAGUCUGGUAUGUGACUGUGUGAAGUGUAAGGCUCAGCAGGCUGUGAUAUAGACUAAUUGAUGGUGAAUCACCUGUUGGGUAGGGCCCAGGUAGUGCCAUUUCUUUGGGUAACCAGGAAAACAUGUAGACCAAAUAUGUUGUCUUUCAUCCUCAGACACUUGAAACUUAAGAGUACAGUCACCAGAGAUCUGCCAUGAUCUCUCUGCCUUGGGUUACUACAGAAGGAAAGACAUUGUUUUAUUUCAGUGUCUUUUCUCCUCAUUUUUAGAACCUCCAUUCUUUUCAGGAAGGAGCCAAGUCCUUGGCCUCUUUCUGCUGCUCCAGCUUCUAAAUGUUUAUACUGUGCCUCCUGGAAUUGCUGCUUUGAUGUGAAGUGUCUCCUCUAGAUACCCCUAGACACACAUGCCCUGCCCCAACCCCUUCACAGAAUUUAGCUUCCCCUUUUCCCUUUGUUGUGAAACUAGUUUCCAUGAUGCUAUAGCACUUUGCUUGGAAUCUUUAUAAGUGGUACUGGCUCUUUCUGUAACUCACCCCAUACCACUUCCCCCUGAUUUUACCUGACUGUCCCCCAGCCACAUCCCUCAGCACUGCAAAACUGCUUCCAGACUUUCAAAUACUUUUCCCCCUUUGAGACUUCUGCUGGCCAGCAAGGUUACCUGAUCCUUGUCCUUGAGUACAGUUAGCAUCUGUACUCAACAUGGGGCUCAAACUCACAACCCCCAAAUCAAGAGUUAUAUGCUCUACUGACUGAGCCAGUCAGGUGCCCCUCAUUCUCCCAUGUUUGUUUAAAAUUUUAGUGUUUGACCUCUCCUCCUGGGACUCUGGCCCAGGCUAGGGGAUUGGUGGUCAGGUUUGGCCUGGGUCUAGUGACUCAGGGUAGACGGUGGAAUUAGGGAGCUUGGUGUCAACAUCUCAGAUGUGGGCAGAUGGGAAACUGUAAGAUCUGAACACCAGAGCCAUCUGGGGUGGAAGGGACAGAGAAAAUUUAGCAUCUGAAGCAAAGGACAUCCUUUGUAGGUUCCCUCUUCUGCUCAUUUGAAAAAAAAUUAAGGGGUGCCUGGGUGGCUCAGUCAGUUGGAUGUCGGACUCUUGAUUUCAGCUUGGGUCAUGAGCUCGCAGUUUGUUGAUCUGAGCCCUGCGUCAGGCUUCAUGCUGACAGUGCAGAGCCUGCUUGGGAUUCUCUGUCUCCUUGUCUCCCUCUCUUUCUUCCCCUCUCCCACUUCUGCACACCUGUGCCCUCUCAAAAUAAAUAAAAAUAAAAAAAUUUUUACAAAUUAAGUUUUUUUAUAACAGUUUUAGGUUCACAGAAAAAUUGAGGGGAAGAUAACAGAUUCCCAUGAUUAUUAUUUUUAAGUAAGCUCUAUGUGGGGCUCAAACUCACAACCCUGAGAUCAAGAGUCACAUGCUCUCUCUCUGCUCCUCUCCCCUGCUGUGCACGCUGUCCCUUUCUCUCUUUAAAACAAAACAAAACAAAAAAAGAGUCACCUGCUCUACUGACUGAGCCAGACAGGCACCCUGAGAUCCCCAUUAUUUUUGAAAAAUUGAUCUUUAAUUUCAUAGGGAAUAUAGUAAUAUAAUCUAAAAAAAAUGAAAAUCGGUAGACAUUUUGAAUUCUCUUGUUCUCCUCCCAUUCUCAUUUCACUUAUUUUUGUAUUCCUCAAAGGUGGUAACCUUGUUAGUGUUUGAAAUGUAGCUUCUAGACUUUUUUCUUUGUGUUUACAUACAUGUGUAUGAACCCAGAAAAAGAGUUAUUUUUGUGUUUAUACAAAUGGGGUCACAUUUUACGUAUUAUUUCAGUAUUUCUUUGAUUCAGUAAUGUACCUGGAUAAUAUUUCAUGUUGAUACAUAAAGAUAACUUCUCCUUUAUUUUGGCUACUGUGUAGUUUUUUGUAUAAUAGAUACACUGUGUAUAGCUACUUUCCUAUUGAGAGACAUUAAGGUAUUUCCAUUUUGAUGCUAUAAAUGAUUCUUGUUGUGUUUUAAAUGUUAGCAUUCUUUCCUAGGGCUUCUUUUUUCUUUUUCCUCAUACUCUUCCUAGGUGAUCUCAACUUCUCUGACAGCUCCACUUAACCAUCUACACAUGGAUGAUGCCCAGAUCUUUCUAUGGACCACAGUAUCCAACUGCUCAUGUAGACAACAUCGCAAGGAUGUUUUGCAUACUCGGCAAAAUGCAGUCUCCUGCUCUUCCCCACUUGCUCGUCAUCCAUUGUCCUCAUCACAUGUAAGUAGCACACUCUUGAUAGGCCCAAAGCCUGGUAGUCAUUCCCUUCCCCUCGUACAGCCAGCAACCAGCCUGUCACUAGGACUUUUCCUCCCCAUUAUUUCUUGGAUCCAGUUGCUUUCUUUCCUUCUUCAUUGCGGGUACUUUGUCCCUUAGUUUUCUGAUUUAUAAAAUAGAGUAUUUGUGAGUACUAAAUAAAUUAACACACAUAAAAUGCUUAGAACAAUAGAUUGGCACCCAGUAAGUGCUAUGUGAAUAUUGAUUAUUGUCAUCAUCAUCGUCACCGUUGUUGUUGGGGUCUUCUCAUCUUAGUGUACAUAAUCCAUUCUCAUAUCUACCUCCAGUCUUGAUUUUAUCCUUCCCUACCUCUGUUCCAUUCUGCACAUUGUAGCCAGAGUGAUCUUUAUAAUAUAUACAAAUGAUCAUGGUCUAACUUUCCUGCUUAAAACAACUUCGGUGAUUUCACAUUGGGCUUUUACAUGUACUGUCACCCCCAUCUGGAAUGCUUUUUCCUUGGUCUUUGCAUGGUUAUUUGUUUUUUUGUUUGUUUGUUGUUUUGAUAUACCUGUUUCUAAAUGUCAUCUUCUCAGAGAGGCCUUCCCCUGACCACCUAAUUAUUCCAAAGUAGCCAUACCUAUUCUUUCUAUCACAUCACCUUUUUUAAUCUUUGCAUAACACUUAUUAAUACGUUAUUUUUCUGUCUUAUUCACGUAUUUGUUUAUAAUCUCCUUCAAUUAAUUUUUUUUAUUUAAUUUUUUUUUUAAACUAGGCUCCACACCCAGUAUGGGACUUGAGCUCAUGACCCUGAGAUCAAGAGUUGCAUGUUCUACCAACUGAGCCAGCCAGGCAUCCCUAGUCUCCUUCAAUUAGAAUUAAAUUCUCUGAGAAAGACAGAUACAUGUUUUCACUCAUAUGUGGAAUUUGAGAAAUUUAACAGAAGACUAUGGGAGAAGGGAAGAAAAAAAAACAGUUACAAACAGAGAGGAAGGCAUUUCAUAAGCGACUCUUCAAUACAGAGAACAAACUGAGGGUUGAUGGGGGUGUGGGGUUGGUGGAACAGGGAAAAUGGGUGAUGGGCAUUGAGGAGGACACUUGUUGGGAUAAGAACUGGGUGUUGUAUGUAAGUGAUGGAUCAUGGGAAUCUACUCCUGAAGCCAAGAAUACACUGUAUACACUGUAUGUUAGCUAACUUGACAAUAAAUUUAUAUUAAAAAAAAAAAAGAAUUUUCUGAGAAUGAGGGUAUUGUUUGUUUUAUUCGCUAUUCUCUUCCUAAUGCCUAGAACAAUGCCUGGCACAUUGUAGGCACUCAGUGAAUACUUGUUAAGUGAAUUACAAAACAACUUCGCAUGUCUCAGGAGUCCCUUUUUGGUCUCCCCAGCAUCAUUUGCUUCAGAACACCUUCUACUUUGGCUUCCCUACCCCCCCCCCCCCCCCCCCAUCUCUUCAGAUGUGUUUUCUUGCUGCAAGAAUUUUUUAUAUUAUGUUCCCUUUACUUAGAACGCUUUUCCUCAGGGUGCCCAAGUGGCUCAGGUUAAGUGACAGUUUUGAUUUCAGCUCAGGUCAUGAUCUCUUGGUUUGUGAAAUCAAGCUCAUGUUGGGCUCCACGCUGACAGUGCUCAGAGCUUGCUUCUGAUUCUCUCUCUGCCCCUCACCUGCUCACAGUUGCUUCUUCUCAAAGUAAAUAAACUUUAAAAAAGAAAAAAGGAUCACUUUUCCUCAAGUGCUCUGCCACUGCCUGGGUAUCUCCUAUUCAUCCUUCAAGUUUCAGCUUAGGUGUAACUUCACCUGACUGUCUUUUUUUUUUUUUUUAAAUGUUUGUUUAUUUUGAAAGAGAGGGAUAGAGAAUCUCAAGCAGGCUCUACUGUGUGUCAGUGCAGAGCCUGAUGCAGGGCUUGAUCCCAUGAACCAUGAAAUCAUGACCUAAGUUGAAAUCAAGAUUUGUACACUUAACUGAGCCACCCCGGUGCCCCAUGACUGUCCUUAGUCUUCCAGCUCUACGUGCAUUACCUUUAAUUAUACAUACUGUAAUUAUUUGUCUCCCUUACUAGAUGGUAAGUUUUGUUGGGCAAAGGCCUAGGCCUUGCUUACUGUGUAUUCUAAGUGCUACAGCUGUGGGCUGGAAGCAUCUCUUGAGAUGAGGUGCUGGGUAGGAGUACCCAGAGUAGUACUUGAGGGCUAAGAAGUGUGCCUUAGAAUGUCAGAGUAAGGUCUAGUCAUUUGGCCCUAGCUCAUUGUCAUUCUCCUUAUUCCAUCUUCGGUGAUUCCAGUAUUUUCUUGAAUGAGCCAUUUAACAUGCUUGAGAUGAAUCAUCUAAUACACUUGUCUCUCUCUCAGAUAUAUUCACAAAAUCAGGGUAGGUCUGGCAGAGAACUUGCCCAUGGAAGGGAGCAUGAGUGCUGAGGAUAAAAGUUGGGGAUCUGGGUAGGCAGAUUAUUUACUCUUGAGUGGCUGAUGGCAGAAUAACUGAGAGUGGAAUGCAAUCCUCAGCAAGGAAAGAAACAAAAGGCCUUAGGGAUAAGGUGAGGCAAAGAUGAAACAGGAAGCUGAAUCAUUAAGUCAGAAACUUAGAGAAUCAGGAUGGUGGGUGGAGUGUAAGAAAGGACAGGGCAAGCAAUUCAAGAUUAAGGCCAUAAAUAAUCUUGGGGAUUACGUAAAUCAUCUUUUGGCAUUCUCACCUCUUUAGUGUGGAACCAGCUUUUGGAUUAAAAGAAGAAUCAGGUAGUUGACAUAUAAAGGUUUGAGCUAGAUUUCACAUUAGUUUGUAUUUUAUAAGUUAAUUACCUGAAUGUGAAAUCCUCAGAAAUCCAACCAUGUACCUUUCUCCACACUUCAGUUUCUGCUCCGAAGAGCUGACUUCCCCUCCUUUUAUUUUUUUAUUUUUUUAAGUUUAUUUUGAGAGAGAGCGAGAGAAGGCAAGCAUGAGUGGGGGAGGGGCAGAGAGAGAGGGGGAGAGAGAGAAUCCCAAGCAGGCUCCACACUGUCAGUAUGGAGCCCGGUGCAGGGCUGAAACUUACGAACUGUGAAAACGUGACCUGAGCUGAAAUCGAGUCAGAUGCUUAACUGACUGAGCCACCCAGGAGCUCCUCCCUCCUUUUAAAUACACUAAGUUUAACUAGCUAAUUUUCAAAAAAAGUUUCCUGUACAGAAGCCUGUAGCAAUCCUGGUGCUCUCUUUAGGUAGGCUGAGGAUAUUCCCUUUACAUAGAAUGAUCACUCUUUCAAGCUGUUUCUCCUCCUACCAAACCAUGCAUAGGAACUGGCUUCAGCAGUCUCGGGAAUUCAGGACUCUGCCUAGCCUGAAUCUGUGGAAUUUCUGUCUGAAUUGUGGGGAAGGACAUGGGAGUGUAGAUUCUGUUGGUGAGGCAUAGUAGUAGUGGAAGACUGGCUGGGUGUGCAUAGAUGUGAGGUUUGAAGCUGUAUAGGCAGUGGGCUUCAAAGUUUCUGACCUGGAAUGGUCUUUGAAUGUAUGGCAGUGUUAGUGUGGUCUAAUAUAUGCCAAAUAGAGAAUCUUGGUGAUUGGUGCCAGUCAUUAGCCCUUAGAGGCAUUCUGUAUGUUUUUCUGUGUGGCCUGGAAGUCUUCUACAGACUGACCAGUAGCUGGCAUCACGGUGGGUACCUGGGGAGAAUCACGGGGAUAGGAGCAGUACUUACUAAAGAGGGAUAUAUUCUCUUUUGAAGGUUGGAUGGAGUGAUUAUGUGCACAUCCUGGGCAGUCUAAGGCCCAGUCACCUUGCCUGUGUGAGGCAAGGUAUCUGUAUUCCCCUCCUAGGGCUCUGCUGGGAAAACCAACCUAAGAGGGCCAGAGAUCAUGGCCACUCUUAGUGAUUCGCACAGGAAUGCUCCCCAUCUUUGACUCCUCUGUUGUUUAAGCCCCAUGCUCUGAUGGCCUGCCUUCUGUUUUCUGCUUUGGUACCUUCAAAUUUCAUAAUCCGUUCUGACUUUUCUUUCUAGAUUACUCCAUGCCCAGCUUGAUUCUUGGUUCUACAUAGUCCUCUAAUUUUGACAUUGCCAGUCAGCUUCAAGUGUGGGCCUCCCUCCAUGAGCCCUGUUCGUAGAGCUAUGAUUUUGAAGCUUUAAUGCAUCAGAAUUACCCAUGCAGGCAAAGGAGGAGGUUGCUGUAUACUUACUUAAAAUGCAAAUUCCGGGGUGCCUGGGUGGCUUGGUUGGGCAUCCGACUUUGGCUCAGGUCAUGAUCUCAUGGCUCAUGGGUCCAAGCCCCAUGUCAGGCUCUGUGCUGACAGCUCAGAGCCUGGAGUCUGCUUCGGAUUGUGUGUCUCCCUCUCUCUCUGCCCCUCCCCUUCUUGCACUCUGUCUCUGUCUCUCAAAAAUAAAUAACCAUUAAAAAUAAAUAAAUAAAAUGCAAAUUUCUGGGGCACCUGGGUGGCUCAUUCAGUUAAGCGUCUGACACUUAAUCUCAGCUCAGGUCUUGAUCUCAGCUCUGGGUGUGAAGCCUACUAAAAAAAAUGCAAAUUCCUGGGGGCACCUGGCUGGCUGAGUUGGAAGAGCAUGUGAUUCUUGAUCUCGGGGUCAUGAGUUUGAGCCCCACAAUGGGUGUAGAGAUUACUUAUAAAAAAUAAGGGUGCCUGCAUGGUUCAGUGGCAUCUGACUUUUGAUUUCAGCUCAGGUCAUGAUAUUGCAGUUUGUGGGUUCAUGCUCCACAUCAGGCUCUGUGCUAACAGUGUGGAGCCUGCUUGGGAUUCUGUCUCUUUCUCUCUCUCUGUGUUUCUCCCCUGCUUGUUUUCUGUCUCUCUCUCUCUCAAAAUAAAUAAAAAUAAACAUUUUAAAAAUAUAAAAAAUAAAUAGGGGUACCUUUGUGGCUCAGUUGGUUAAGUAUCUGACUCUUGGUUUCAGCUCAGGUCACAAUCUCAGCCCUGAAAGGGGUUCUGCGCUGACAGUGUGGAACCUGCUUGCGAUUCUCUCUGCCCCUUCCGUUCCCCUCUCCCCUCCCCCUUUAUACAAAAUGUACAGCCACUCAAUACAAAGUAACCCCAUGUUACUCUCUUAGUACCUCAUUUGCUUUCAUUAGAUCCCUUACUGCUUUUUUAAUAGUUUGUCUUUCUCACCUACCAGAUUAUAAAUUUCAUUAAGGUAGGGACCUUCUUGCUAGAGGUUGUAUUUUCAGUGCUUAGAGGCAUUCAGGAAGUAUUUGAUGACUAAAUUACUCCUUACCUUCUUGUCAGUACCCAUGUGGGUUCUUUGUGGCUCUGCACAAACUCUCAUCCUUUGUAUGUGUUGUUGCCUCUGCCAGAAGCACCCUUACUCUCAUCAGCUGGUCAGACUUUUUCUUGUCCUUUCCCACUUCUCUCAGCAAGUCUUUGACUUCCCCAGGCAGUGCUAGUUCAAUAGAGUUAGCACUUUGGUCCUCUCAAAUGGACUUUUUGCCCUGUGUGGUGAUUUUAUCUGUGUAAGAGAUAGAUGGUAUUGCCCUUGGUUUACCAAAAGCUCUGAGAGGUGGAUUAACUUGGAAGUGGUUAGAACUGAGAUUCAAACCCCUAUGUAUCUGUAGAGCCCUCACUCAAUCCACCUUGCUUGCUCUAAAAGAAACCAAAGAGACCUAGAGACAUUGAAGUGAAAGAGAUUUUGUUUUUAAUUAGGUAAUGAAAGUGUGUGUUUGUGUGUGUGUGUGUGCGUGCAUGCAUGUGUGUGCAUGUGUACAUGCAUGUGUGGGAGGGAUGUUCCCUGUUGAAAGCCCAGGAAAGAGCAGAAGCUAGAUGGGGCAUGAAAGGCUGUGGCCCCAUGGUGUGUAAUGAGGCUUCUGUGUUGCAGGCCUGAGGAGAAUCUCAGAUUUCUGACCUCUUCCUAAUUUCAAGCCUGGGUAUUCAACUGUCCUCAGGGCCACUUGGACCUGUAUGUAUCAUUGGCUUCCUAAAUUUAGUAGCAUAUGGUAGGAAUGUUUGAUUACAGUGAUUUGUCAUUUUUGGUGAUAGUAUAUGAAAGCAUUUAACACAGGGCCUUUUGCACACUGUAGGUUUCCAACAGGUGACAGAGAGUAUGUGAGAAAUAUUUUGAAACUGUUAAGUCUUUCCCCAGGUCCCUUAACUCUACUCCUGUGCCUCCUACCCUCAGGCUAAAUAGGAGAUAGCAACAUGGAUUCCACCUUUGGGAACUUGCUGAUUCCUUGUUGGUGGCUUUAUGCUUAGGCAAGAAGUGUAAUUGAUUUCCACAUAUCUGAGAGCAUAUAUAUCUGGACCCUGUCCACCAGAUUACUCAAAAUCUUACCCCAGACUGAAAAUGUUACCUUGGGCAACUUUCUUGGUAGGUACCUUAGGCUUGAGAAUCUUAGUGGGGAAGACUGCGAAUCUCUAGGAUGGUCAUGCAAGGUGGUGAAUGUAUGGGGGUUGAACAUGAGUUUAACUUAGCCAGGAUAGCUUAUUGGGUGCAGACAUGGAGGAAGGGAUAAAAUAGGGAGCAAAAUGGGCUCAACUCUUUGUAAUUUUCUGCUGGUAGGAAGGUGUACGCACUUGUGUGCCAGGGGCAGAGCUCUGGCCUGCUGUGAGAGUCAGGUUUACUCCUGGCUGCCCUGCAAGGCAUUUGGGAUUUAGUAGGAGAUGAAAUAGGAAAUCUGAAUCCCCGAUAGCUUUGCUUCAGAUCUUAUAGAUCUGUAGGAAGGAAGUGUGCCUCCCAGGAUCUCUCAGUCCUCUGAAUCACCACCUACAUGCUGAAAUAAGGAAUUCCAUCCAGAUGUAUGGGGGUGUCCCUUCAUCCUUCUUAGGCUCCAUCAACUUGCCUUGAUCUUAAGCUUUUAUCCUUUUCCCCCUGUCACUGACCUGGCUUCUGGAAAGGAGAGGGAAAAGGAUGAGGAAGGAAGGGGAGAGUUAAAUAACUUGUGGGGGGUAGGUGGAUUUGUGGUCCUUAAAUCUUUUCUGGAACGAAGUGUAGGUGUGAGGAGGAAGUGAGUGAGUGGGGAGAAUAAAUAAAGGCUACUGGUACCACUUGUCUGGCACUCAGCCUGGACCCCUGCUUAGUAUUAUCAUGUUCUUUCUGUGUUGUUUUUCUUCUCCUUUUUAAAGCAUAAGUGUGUAUGCACAUGUAAUUUCAUGUCAGUGGAAUCAUACCUUAAUACUGUUUUUCUUACUUAUACUGUUUUGUAAUUUUCUUUCAUUUUUUCUCCAGCUUUAUUGAGAUAUAAUUGACAAAUGAUUAUCACAAUAUGGUUAUCGCCUGACGUAGUUACCUAUUUUUGUGUGUGUGUGGUAAGAGUCAUUUUAUAAUUUGUUAUAGACACUUUAUCAUGUAAAUAAAUAUAGAAUAAAUGGCUAAAUUAUAUUUCUAUUUUUUAAAUUAAGUUUAUUUUUGUGAGAGAGAGAGAGAGAGAGAGGGAGGGCAGGCAGGCCCAUGUGUGGGAGGGGCAUGGCAGGGGGAACAGAGGAUCCGAAGUGGGCUCUGUGCUGACAGUGGAGAGCCUGAUAUGGGGCACGAAUUCAUGAAUCUUGAGAUGAUGGCCUGAGCGAAGUUGGACGCUUAACCAACUGAGUCACCCAAGUGCCCCGCUAAAUUAUAUUUUGUUGUAUGGAUGUACCAUAAUGCAUUUUAUUCUUCAGUAUUGAAUAUGUUUAUCUCAUUUGUUAUCAAUGGGCCCUUCCCUGACCCCCUUACUUAAAAUUGUAGCAAACCCCCUUUCUUUCCUUUCUCCCUUCUCUCCUUUAUUUUUGUCUAUAGCAUUCAGCACCAUUUGGUACAUACUUUUCUUAUUUAUUAUUGCCCACCACCCUCCAUUAGAAUGUAAGCUCCAUGAAGACAGAUUUUUUUUUUUCUUUUUUUAUUCACUGCUCUGUAGCUGUUGCUUGAAACAGUUCCUGGUACACAAUUGGUACUUGAUAAAUAUUUGUUGAAUGAAUGAAUUUGUUGGACUUUUGGUGUACUUGUUGGGCUUUUUUUUUUUUUUUUAAAGUUUAUUUUAUUUUGAGAGAGAGCACACAUGCAUGUGCGAGCAAGGAAGGGGCAGAGAGAGAGGAGAGAGAAAAUCCCAACAGGUUCCAUGCUGUCAUGCAGAGAUCUUUGGCGGGCUCAAUCUCACAAGUGGUGAGGUGAUCUGAGCCAAUAUCAAGAGUCAGAGGGGCGCCUGGGUGGCGCAGUCGGUUAAGCGUCCGACUUCAGCCAGGUCACGAUCUCGCGGUCCGGGAGUUCGAGCCCCGCGUCAGGCUCUGGGCUGAUGGCUCGGAGCCUGGAGCCUGUUUCCGAUUCUGUGUCUCCCUCUCUCUCUGCCCCUCCCCCGUUCAUGCUCUGUCUCUCUCUGUCCCAAAAAUAAAUAAACGUUGAAAAAAAAAAAUUUAAAAAAUAAAAAAACGAGUCAGACACUGAGCUGACUGAGCCACCCAAGCUCCCCUUUGUUGGGCUUUUUUAUUUUAUUUUUUUUAUUUUUUUUUCAACCUUUUUUAUUUAUUUUUGGGACAGAGAGAGAUAGAGCAUGAACAGGGGAGGGGCAGAGAGGGGGGAGACACAGAAUCGGAAACAGGCUCCAGGCUCUGAGCCAUCAGCCCAGAGCCCGACGCGGGGCUCGAACUCCCGGACCGCGAGAUCGUGACCUGGCUGAAGUCGGACGCUUAACCGACUGAGCCACCCAGGCGCCCCUGGGCUUUUUUAAAAUUGUUUUAAUGUUUAUUUAUUUUUGAGAGAGAGAGAGACAGAAUGUGAACAGGGGAGGGGCAGAGAGGGGGCAACACAGAAUCUGAAGCAGGCUUCAGGCUCUGAGCUAUUAGCACAGAGCCCAGCGUGGGGCUCAAACUCACAAACUGCCAGAUCACGACCUGAGCCAAAGUCAGACAGUUAACUGACUGAGCCACCUAGGCACCCCUGUUUGGCUUUUUAUUUGCAGUUUUUUAGUAAUCUCUGCAUCCAGCAUGGGGCUUCAACUCACGACCUCAAGAUCAUGUGUCGCUCUCGACUGAGCCAGCCAGGAGCCUUCUUUGCAGCAUUUAUGUCAUUAUGUGCAUUCUGUGAUAAACACCCUGUACAUAAUCUUUGUACACUUGUCUACUUACCUUCUUGGGAUGAAUUCUAAGAAAUAGAAUGGCUGAUUUAAAAGAUAUACACAUUUAUUAAAUUUUUUUUUAUUAUUUUUUAAUGUUUAUUUUGGGGACAGAGAGAGACAGAGCAUGAAUGGGGGAGGGGCAGAGAGAGAGGGAGACACAGAAUCAAAGCAGGCUCCAGGCUCUGAGCCAUCAGCCCAGAGCCUGAUGCGGGGCUCGAACUCACGGACCGCGAGAUCGUGACCUGAGCUGAAGUCGGACGCUUAACCGACUGAGCCACCCAGGCACCCCAAAUUUUUGAAAAAUGUUUAUUUAUUUUUAAGAGAGAGAGAGAGACAGAGCAUAGGGGCAAAGAGAGAGGGAGACACAGAAUCCAAAGAAGGUUUCAGGCUCUGAGCUGUUACCACAGAGCUCGACACAGGGCUUGAACCCACCAACCAUGAGAUCAUGACCUGAGCCGAAGUUGGGCACUUAACUAACUGAGCCACCUAGGUGCCCCAAGGAUAUACACAUUUAAAAUGUUGGUUCAUGGAACCAAACUGCCCUUAAGAAUGUUAACUUCUAGGGGCACCUGGGUGGCUUGGUUGGUUAUGUGAUUGACCCUUGAUUUAGGCUCAGGUCAUGAUCUCACAGUUUGGUUGGUGAGGUCAAGCCCCACUUCAGGCUCUACGCUGACAGUGCAGAGACUGCUUGGGAUUCUCUCUCCCUGUCACUCUCUCCCUCUCCUUCUCACACUUGUGCACGUGUGUUCACUCUUUCUCCCUGUCUCUCUGUCUCUCUCAAAAUAAAUAUUUUUUUAAAAAUGUUAACUUCUUCCAACAGAACAUGAGAUUGUCUAUUUCCCCACAUUAUUAGUAAUACUGGGUUGUAUGUUUUUCAUCUUCCCCAUUUGACAGGUGAAAAGUGGUCUUGUCACUCUAAUAUGGUGGUUGAGAAUGUGACUCUGAUAUGAUGUGAUGUGAUAUGGUAUAUGAUUCUGGAGCCAGCCUGCUGGGGCCUGAAUUCGGACAUAACCACUUACUGUGUGACCUUGGGUAAGUCAUUUAACUUCUCUAUCCCUCAGUUUCAUCUUUGAUAAGGUAGGUAUAAUAAUAGCUCAUAUUUCGUGAAGAAUAAAUCAGUUAAUCUAAAAUGUUUCAAAUAGUCAUGGAGAUAUGUCACUCAAGUAUUUAAAAAAAAAUUUUUUUUUAACAUCUAUUCAUUUUUGAGAGAUGGAGAGAGAGCAUGAGUGGGUAAGGGGCAGAGAGCGAGGGAGACACAUAAUCUGAAGCAGGCUCCAGGCUCCAAGCUGUCAGCACAGAGCUCAAACCCACGAACUGCGAGAUCAUGACCUGAGCUGAAGUCAGAUGCCUAACUGACUGAGCCACCCAGGCGCCCCUCACUAAGUAUGUUUUAAUGUUUCUUUGUAUAUUAAAGAUUGAAUAUCUUUUCAAAUGUAUUUUUGACGUUUAUAUUUUUUGAGUCAUUGAUCCAUGUCCUUUGCACAUUUUUCCAGUAUUAUUUUCUUAAUAAUUCGUAAGAGCUAAAGUGUUGACCAUUAUAUAUGGUGCAGAAUUGUCCCCGGUUUGUCAUUUGUCUUUUGACUGUGUUUAUGCAGUUUUUUGUUGUUGUUGGGAAAUUCUGCAUUUUUAGGUGGUCAAAAUAAUCUUUUCUUAUAGUUUUUCCUACUGCUAGGCCAAUAUUUAGAAAAGGCAUGCUUCCCUACCUGAAAAUUAUAAAAAAUAGUUAUUCAUUCUCUUUGAAUACUUGGGGUGUGUGUGUGUGUGCGCGUGUGCGUGUGUGUGUGUGUGUGUGUUUAAACUUAAUCUUUAAGUCUUUGAUCCAUCUGGAAUUUAUUUUGAUAUGAAGAUAGCAGUAGAUAUCUGGCUCUAUUUCUUUUCAGUUGUGUACUGUCCCAAACCUGUUUAUUAAAAAAGAAAGAGCAGCAGCCUUUAAUCUUUAAUCUUCCUUCCCCUAAUUUGAAAGUAAGAUAUCCUAGAGAUAGCAAAUCUCCAUUUCAGAGAAUGAAUUUCAUGUUUGGACUCAGUAGUCAUUCAGUUGCCAAGCUGUGGGAUGAAUAUGCUGUGUAAAGCAGUUUGGGAUCAGAACUCACAGCUUGACUCUAAGUGAUGAGACUGCUGCAUUCACUAGUGUAGGCUUCUCUGCUGGCUCUUCUUUGGAGGCUCCUUCUAAAUAGGUCCUACUUUGAGGACUGCUUUGAAGGGGCUAUUGUUAAUUUGGAAUGGCAAAUUCUGUGUCUUUCAAAAAACAAAUGAAGUAAUUGUAGUGGAUGUUUCCUCACUCCAGCCCAGAGUAUUGGUAGGGUAUUUAUAGGGGGUAUUGAAUGGUAAUGAACCCAUUGUCUUCUACCUGUGUCCUCAGGUAGAGCAGGUCUUUUUGGAACUCUUGUUCCAUCUAGUUUCUUGCCUCUGACUCAAGAUGGAGGGAGAGUGGGUCUUAUAUAACAGAGUGUUCACAUAUCCCAUGGCAGCUGUCAUCUGCUAAAGAUGAUGAAGAAGGGUAGCUAAUUCUUACAGGGCAUAUGUUAUGUGCCAGCAGCUGUUCCAAGCACUUUACAUAUAUAAAGUUUUUAUGAGAUAGGUGUUCUGUACUGGGUUGAAUAGUGUCUUCCCAACAGUUCAUGUCCACCCAGAACCUAUAAAUGUGAUCUUAUUUGGAAGUAGGAUCCUUGUAGAUGUAAUCAAGUUAAGAUGAAGUCAUACUGGAUUAGGAUGGGCCCUAAUCUAGUGACUGGUGUUCUUAUAUGAAGAGGGAGACACAGAGAGAGAAGAUGUCUGUAUGAAGAUGGAAGCAGAGAUUGGAGUUGUGCUGCCACGAACCAAGGGAUGGCAAGGAUUACUGGCAACCACCAGAAGCUGGAAGAGACAAAGAUUCUCCUCUGGAGCCUUCAGAGGGAGCAUGACCCUGCUGAAACCUUGAUUUUGGACUUCUAGCCUCCAGAACAAUGAGAGAAUAAAUAUCUUUUGUUUGAAGUCACCCAGUUUGUAGUGUUUGUUACAGCAGCCCUGAGAAACCAAACAUGCUCUUUUAUCGUCUUCUUUUUCGAAUAAGGAAACAGGCCCAGAGAGGUUAGAUACUUUGAGAUCUCUGUAGGCCACUGCUCUGCUGGCUGGGCACUUACUCUGAAGCUCCUCAUGUUGCUGUUGUCAGCUCUGCACCACGACCAUUACACCUUUUGGUAGUGCUGGGGCUGAGCUGAAGGAAUGGCUCCUCCUCUAACACAGCAGGCCACAGCCCUUCCCCAUUCUUGCCUUCUUCACACCCUAAAGCAGAAACUCCUCUCAGGAGGCUUCUGACUGUAGCCUGAUCAUUUCCGCAGGUUGCUUCCCAGCCCCACUCCUCCAGGUGAUACCAGGCUUUUAUUAUUUUUUAAUUAAAAAAAUUUUUUUUAAAUGUUUAUUUUGAGAGAGCAUGAGCAGGGGAGGGGGCAGAGAGAGGAGACAGAGGAUCUGAAGCAGACUCUGUGCUGUCAGCAUGGAGCCCAACACAGGGCUCGAGCUCAUGAACCAUGAGAUCAUGACUUGAGCCGAAGUUGGACACUUAACCAGCUGAACCACCCAGGUGCCCCUGGGUUUCUAUUUUUCAUUUCCAUGCAGUGUUAGAGAAAUGUGGGUGACAUUUGGGGGGAGUGUCACUCAGUUUCUAACAGUUUUUAUGUUUCCCAUUUCUGGACUGCUAUACUUCCUAGAACUCCUGUCAGUAGAUGACUCAAGUCUUGGUGUGGAUUUUUGUUUUCGUUUUUGAGCUUCAGGAUAUCACACACAGCUCAGAUGGCAGAUACCACAGUUCAUGGCUGUGAGCAGAGAAGGAGCAGCAUCAUGGCCACAUUGGCUCUGAGGGCCCUGGUCACCUGUUUUUGAUAAACCGAACAUACCACAGUGGCUCUGUCCUUUGCCAAAGUGAGUGGGGGAUAAGGAUGUUCUCUGACCCAGCCCAGCUACCUAAACAGCUCCUUAUUUGCCCAUGGUCUCUUUUGCUGGCAUCCCAGAAGGGAUCUCCUUCCUCAGCAUCUCAUUGCUGGCUGCAGAAUUUUGCCUAUUUUCCAAUUUGGACCUUUUGCUUUGGGUCCUGCUCUUACUCUUAACAACUCUCACUAGGCUGAGCUCCAGGAACUCAGGAACCAUAUUUGUUUUGUUUGCUGCUAUAUCCUAGGAAUGAGGAAAAACCUGGUACUUACUAGCCCUCAAGAAAUGUAUAUUGAAUGAAGAAAUGAAACAAUAUUAAACACAAAAUAAGUAUAAGGAAAAUCCAGCGAAAUUCUGAUUUUUACCAUGAUGACUAAUUAGAUCAAUAUAAUUUGAAAUAUCUGUUUUUGUCUCUGCUUUUCCAGUUCUCUAAGCACAUGCUAUUGGAUAAUCCUGCCUGGAUCAGUCCUUUCCACACCUUGGACUUCACCUUCUUUUCCUCUUUAUUCUAUCUGCUAAAGUUGCCAGCC
Molecule: long non-coding RNA, 31620 nt
Filed under: Lynx pardinus (Iberian lynx)
Lineage: Eukaryota; Metazoa; Chordata; Mammalia; Carnivora; Felidae
Source: RNAcentral